This is a long non-coding RNA of Centruroides sculpturatus (bark scorpion), 246 nucleotides long. RefSeq lists it as uncharacterized. The transcript has 4 exons. The record is from RefSeq and is a predicted model, not a curated record. NCBI's taxonomy places the organism in Eukaryota, Metazoa, Arthropoda, Arachnida, Scorpiones, Buthidae.
GAGAUGUCGUUCAUGGCGCCAUGUUUACGGUAUUCGUAAAAGAUGUAGCGAAUACAGAAAACGGAGAUGGUUGUUAAAGCUAUUAAAUUAAUUGAUUUUGGGAUGUAAUUUAGAGAUGAAAAUGACGUGUACUGAAAUUGAGAUGAAUAAGGUUGAUUCACCUUCGAAGGAAGUUGCUGAACUGGAAGAAACUGAAAUGAAUAAGGUUGAUUCCACUUCAAAGGAAGUUGCUGCGUUAGAAGGUGA